UGGGGAAUAUUGCACAAUGGGCGCAAGCCUGAUGCAGCCAUGCCGCGUGUAUGAAGAAGGACUUCGGGUUGUAAAGUACUUUCAGCGGGGAGGAAGGGAGUAAAGUUAAUACCUUUGCUCAUUGACGUUACCCGCAGAAGAAGCACCGGCUAACUCCGUGCCAGCAGCCGCGGUAAUACGGAGGGUGCAAGCGUUAAUCGGAGUUACUGGGCGUAAAGCGCACGCAGGCGGUUUGUUAAGUCAGAUGUGAUAUCCCCGGGCGAAACCUGGGAACUGCAUCUGAUACUGGCAAGCUUGAGUCUCGUAGAGGGGGGUAGAAUUCCAGGUGUAGCGGUGAAAUGCGUAGAGAUCUGGAGGAAUACCGGUGGCGAAGGCGGCCCCCUGGACGAAGACUGACGCUCAGGUGCGAAAGCGUGGGGAGCAAACAGG
RNAcentral lists this ribosomal RNA (429 nucleotides) under Chloroflexota bacterium. Its description in RNAcentral is "Chloroflexi bacterium partial 16S ribosomal RNA". It matches the Rfam family "Bacterial small subunit ribosomal RNA", at positions 355 to 776 of the family's 1533-position model. The record is from RNAcentral. Lineage: Bacteria; Bacillati; Chloroflexota.